GGACUACAGGGGUAUCUAAUCCGGUUCGCUCCCCACGCUCUCGCGCCUCAGCGUCGGCCCUCGGCCCAGGAGACCGUCUUCACCACCGGUGUUCCGCCGGAUCUCUACGCAUUUCACCACUACACCCGGCAUUCCGUCUCCCUCGACCGCGCCCCAGCCGGGCCGUCCCGAGCCCAUCACGGGGUUGAGCCCCGCACUUACAGGCCCGACUGACCCGGCCGCCUACGCGCCCUUUACGCCCAGUGAAUCCGGACAACGCUCGCACCCCCCGUAUUACCGCGGCUGCUGGCAC
Molecule: ribosomal RNA, 292 nt
Filed under: uncultured bacterium
Lineage: Bacteria
Description: partial 16S ribosomal RNA
Source: RNAcentral